AACCCAGACUCCUACGGGAGGCAGCAGUGAUUCCUCUUGGUCAAUUUGCUCGAGCCUGCCCCAGCCAAGUCGCGUGCGGGAAGACGGUCCUCUGGAUUGUCCACCUCUUUUGUCGGGGAGCAAAAGACGCCACGCGUGGCGUUCCGAGAGUACCCGAAGAAAAAGCAUCGGCUAACUCCGUGCCAGCAGCCGCGGUAAUACGGAGGAUGCGAGCGAUAUCCGGAUUUAUUGGGGGUAAAGGGUGCGCAGGCGGAAUGUCAAGUCAGCGGUAAAAGUUCGGGGCUCAACCCCGUCGUGCCGUGGAAACUGGCGUUCUUGAGUGAGCGAGAAGUAUGCGGAAUGCGUGGUGGAGCGGUGAAAUGCAG
Molecule: ribosomal RNA, 365 nt
Filed under: uncultured bacterium
Lineage: Bacteria
Description: bacterial SSU rRNA
Rfam family: Bacterial small subunit ribosomal RNA
Source: RNAcentral